Molecule: ribosomal RNA, 870 nt
Filed under: uncultured Photobacterium sp.
Lineage: Bacteria; Pseudomonadati; Pseudomonadota; Gammaproteobacteria; Vibrionales; Vibrionaceae
Description: bacterial SSU rRNA
Rfam family: Bacterial small subunit ribosomal RNA
Source: RNAcentral
CUACCAUGCAGUCGAGCGGUAACAGAAAGAAAGCUUGCUUUCUUUGCUGACGAGCGGCGGACGGGUGAGUAAUGCCUGGGAAUAUGCCUUAGUGUGGGGGAUAACUAUUGGAAACGAUAGCUAAUACCGCAUAAUGUUUUUGUUCAUUACGAACAGGAACCAAAGAGGGGGACCUUCGGGCCUCUCGCGCUAAGAUUAGCCCAGGUGGGAUUAGCUAGUUGGUGAGGUAAAGGCUCACCAAGGCAACGAUCCCUAGCUGGUCUGAGAGGAUGAUCAGCCACACUGGAACUGAGACACGGUCCAGACUCCUACGGGAGGCAGCAGUGGGGAAUAUUGCACAAUGGGGGAAACCCUGAUGCAGCCAUGCCGCGUGUAUGAAGAAGGCCUUCGGGUUGUAAAGUACUUUCAGUCGUGAGGAAGGGUAUGUAGUUAAUAGCUGCAUGCCUUGACGUUAGCGACAGAAGAAGCACCGGCUAACUCCGUGCCAGCAGCCGCGGUAAUACGGAGGGUGCGAGCGUUAAUCGGAAUUACUGGGCGUAAAGCGCAUGCAGGCGGUCUGUUAAGCAAGAUGUGAAAGCCCGGGGCUCAACCUCGGAACCGCAUUUUGAACUGGCAGACUAGAGUCUUGUAGAGGGGGGUAGAAUUUCAUGUGUAGCGGUGAAAUGCGUAGAGAUCUGAAGGAAUACCGGUGGCGAAGGCGGCCCCCUGGACAAAGACUGACGCUCAGAUGCGAAAGCGUGGGGGAGCAAACAGGAUUAGAUACCCUGGUAGUCCACGCCGUAAACGAUGUCUACUUGAAGGUUGUGGCCUUGAGCCGGGGCUUUCGGAGCUAGCGCGUUACUACCAUGCACUACCAUGCACUACCAUGCA